RNAcentral lists this ribosomal RNA (484 nucleotides) under uncultured bacterium. RNAcentral describes it as "partial 16S ribosomal RNA". It matches the Rfam family "Bacterial small subunit ribosomal RNA", at positions 30 to 507 of the family's 1533-position model. The record is from RNAcentral.
AUUGAACGCUGGCGGCAGGCCUAACACAUGCAAGUCGAGCGGAUGAAGGGAGCUUGCUCCUGGAUCCAGCGGCGGACGGGUGAGUAAUGCCUAGGAAUCUGCCUGGUAGUGGGGGAUAACGUCCGGAAACGGGCGCUAAUACCGCAUACGUCCUGAGGGAGAAAGUGGGGGAUCUUCGGACCUCACGCUAUCAGAUGAGCCUAGGUCGGAUUAGCUAGUUGGUGGGGUAAAGGCCUACCAAGGCGACGAUCCGUAACUGGUCUGAGAGGAUGAUCAGUCACACUGGAACUGAGACACGGUCCAGACUCCUACGGGAGGCAGCAGUGGGGAAUAUUGGACAAAGGGCGAAAGCCUGAUCCAGCCAUGCCGCGUGUGUGAAGAAGGUCUUCGGAUUGUAAAGCACUUUAAGUUGGGAGGAAGGGCAGUAAGUUAAUACCUUGCUGUUUUGACGUUACCAACAGAAUAAGCACCGGCUAACUUCGUG